RNAcentral lists this long non-coding RNA (1109 nucleotides) under Equus caballus (horse). Its description in RNAcentral is "lncRNA (ENSECAG00000042314.2)". Lineage: Eukaryota; Metazoa; Chordata; Mammalia; Perissodactyla; Equidae. The record is from RNAcentral.
AGAGAGGGUGUGGAUACAGAAGACUGAUGAGAAACUGUAACUGAGUAUUGAACUCUGGGCAGUAAUGUGGUGAAUUAUAGCCCAAGCCCUUGAAUAAUGGCUGGAAGUCAUCAAGUCUCUCGAUUUUACCAAGUUGUCAUUCACAUGUUAUAUUAGCUGAAAUUAACUGCUGCAUCCCUCUCAGAAGGGGAAAUGGCUCUCCAUGCCAUGUUACUGCCUCCACGGUAUUGAUUUUGUGUGGAUGGGCAGUGAUUCAUGGGACGGCCCCUCACCUGCUUCCCCAUCAAGUUUUUUUUUCCUAGCUCCAGAUUUUCAAGAGUCUUGUAUGAAUUGCACUAGUUUAGCAACAACCCAGCGUGGAAUCUCACUGUAUUUGCAAAUGAUUGCUUUGAAUUUGAGAGAGUGAGAGAAUCACCAGAAAUAAGAUGAAAUAAAUAAGGCAAGGAGGAAGGUGACAUUUGUAAAUUAUGAGGGAUUAGAGGAGACAGUUCUGACUGGAGAUCUCACCCUUUAACUCAGUGGCACCCCUGGGGAAGAAGAGAGGGGAAGAUGAGGAAACUGAGACAGAGUUUAAGGCACCUGACGGAGGACACACAGCAAGAUGACGACAGAACUAGGCAUUCCGCCUCCAUUGUCCUCAUUUGUCACCUGUGUAAACAGUGCCCUGUGAUUUGGUGUGGCAUGACAGAUGCCUCCAGGCCCAGGUGUCUGGCCCUCCUUCAAGCCUUCUGUUCUCAGGAUGAUGGAGAAGCCGGUUUCUGCCUCCAGGAAGAUGUCAUUUUCCAAUGAACUGAUGAUGGCCCCAAGCCCUAUUAGUUGGCUGGCGCUGUGGAUUUCAAGGUGGCUGUUUAAUGAAUUGUGGGGCCAGUUCACUGCUGGGUCACCACAUCCCCGCUGACCCCUAGCGAUACACUGAUAGACGGGUGUGGGGCUCCCUCCAGCAGCGGGUGCAUUCUGCAGGGUACAGCCCUGGGGCAGUGCAGCAAAUCAGAGUAGUAGCAGAAUCUGUCCCCCCACCCCUGGCUGCCUCCUCUAAGUAACGUGGUUCUUAGAUGAUGAAUUACGGCUGGCUCUGGGAAGUGGGCGAAAUCGACCCGGUCUUCUCUUUG